This 497-nucleotide ribosomal RNA is filed under the name uncultured bacterium. RNAcentral describes it as "partial 16S ribosomal RNA". It matches the Rfam family "Bacterial small subunit ribosomal RNA", at positions 28 to 507 of the family's 1533-position model. The record is from RNAcentral.
GAUGAACGCUGGCGGCGUGCCUAAUACAUGCAAGUCGAGCGAACAGAUGAGGAGCUUGCUCCUCUGACGUUAGCGGCGGACGGGUGAGUAACACGUGGAUAACCUACCUAUAAGACUGGGAUAACUUCGGGAAACCGGAGCUAAUACCGGAUAAUAUAUUGAACCGCAUGGUUCAAUAGUGAAAGACGGUUUUGCUGUCACUUAUAGAUGGAUCCGCGCCGCAUUAGCUAGUUGGUAAGGUAACGGCUUACCAAGGCAACGAUGCGUAGCCGACCUGAGAGGGUGAUCGGCCACACUGGAACUGAGACACGGUCCAGACUCCUACGGGAGGCAGCAGUAGGGAAUCUUCCACAAUGGGCGAAAGCUUGACGGAGCAACGCCGCGUGAGUGAUGAAGGUCUUCGGAUCGUAAAACUCUGUUAUUAGGGAAGAACAAAUGUGUAAGUAACUAUGCACGUCUUGACGGUACCUAAUCAGAAAGCCACGGCUAACUACGUG